AAAGUUAUCAGCUGCUCUUUGAUUCCUCUUUUAGAUAUUUUUAGUUAUUUAUGUGAACAUUUAAAAGAGUAAUUUAUUUAAAUUGACAAAACCUGAAAUUAUCCCGAUCCACAUUCUCCUCACAUUUAUUUAGCUCCAUGUGUCAUUGGACAUGAGCCUUGUGUCAGUUGGCCUCCGCGUCAAAUGGAGUAGAAGCAGGUUCCGGGCAGGGGUCCCGCAUGCAAGGUCCUGCGUGCAGGGGGACAGCUGUGUGAGGGCACUUGUUAUGCACCUGCCUGCUGUGAGAUCCUCUCUUGUCUUAGUGCUCCUGUUGUAUUAGUGAUUCUUGUUACAUAAUUGCCGAAUACACAUUCAACGUAGUUUGUAUUUGUGGUGCUUUUAUCCAUUGUUAAUGACAUUUAGGAAUAUCUGAAGCAGGACUCACCAAGCCAGCAACUCCAGCCUCCCACGGGGAAAGCUGCGUGGCUCCCCGAGAAGUCUGAGGGCCCCUCAGAAACUGAUGUCUGUGUUCAGUUUCUGAAUGUAGGUGUUGAAUUUCACAGUAAUAUUCAUAAUGGUUGUAUGGUCUAUAAUUAUAUGUUAAAAUUAAAUUAUAAAUAAUGAAAUUUCUUCUGCACUGAGUGAUACUGCACUCACUCACUCUUACUGAACAUUUAUUGAUUUUCUUGUGUAGUAGAACAUUGUUAACCGUGUCAUUUUCAUUUGUGUUUUUAUUCCCUAACCCACUGUGUUCAAAUCUAAUAUAUAACUCAACAUACCAAAGUAAUGCUUUUCCUUAAAAGGAUUCUUCAGGCUACCAUGGUGGGAACAAGGAAGCAAAACUGACUAUGUUUGAAAGAGUUCAGGAAGCAGAGGGAAAAUGCAGAGGGGCACAGGCCCUUGGGCAGUGGAUUACAGUCACAUUCUCAGAAAAAGAGAGAGAGCUUUGGAAGAUAAGAUGGGGGAAGUACAGAGACAGCAGGAGAAGGAACUAUUCCAACCUAGUCAAGACAAUUAUAUCCUUCGAGCCAAGUGAAGUAGCAUUGAAGAAUCAAACAAGAAACAAAGGUGGUUGCCUUUUGAGGAAACAUCAGCUCCUGCCACAGAG
This is a non-coding RNA of Vicugna pacos (alpaca), 1087 nucleotides long. Lineage: Eukaryota; Metazoa; Chordata; Mammalia; Artiodactyla; Camelidae. The record is from RefSeq and is a predicted model, not a curated record.